Oncorhynchus gorbuscha (pink salmon) is the source of this 362-nucleotide long non-coding RNA. RefSeq lists it as uncharacterized. NCBI's taxonomy places the organism in Eukaryota, Metazoa, Chordata, Actinopteri, Salmoniformes, Salmonidae. The record is from RefSeq and is a predicted model, not a curated record. The transcript has 3 exons.
GGAAGAGAGAAUAGGUUGUGAGAUACAGAAGAAUAAGAACAUACAGAAGAAGAGAGCAUAUUUCCACAGCUCCACAAGCUCUUUUCACGAUUGGCAAAAGCAUCAUAUUUGAAACAUUUCAAGAUCCAGAGAACAAAUACAGCUGUAUUUGAAAACAUUUCCCAGAACUCUGCAUGAUACUAGGAAAAGGGCUUUCAACAUCUCCUGGUAUAAGGACAAUUCCAUGGCUUGAAUAUUCUAAGCUUUACAACUAUGUAUCUGGCCCGUACGUUCAACUCAAGUUGCUUGCAGUUCAGAAAGAGCUGUGUCCACAGCAGUAGUCCAGAACUACAGAGACUUGCGGAUGUAAGGUGGGCAUGCAG